AGAGAGAUAAUUGUUGGAAACGACUUGUAAUGCUCUAUAUGCCUUUAUUACUAAAGUAAGCAAGGGAAACAUUUAUGGCUUUGGGAUGAGACUGUACGGUAUCAGCUAGUUGGUGAGGUAAUGGCUCACCAAGGCAAUGACAUCUAACUGGUUUGAGAGGAUGAUCAGUCACACUGGAACUGAGACACGGUCCAGACUCCUACGGGAGGCAGCAGUGGGGAAUAUUGCACAAUGGAGGAAACUCUGAUGCAGCAACGCCGCGUGGAGGAUGACACAUUUCGGUGCGUAAACUCCUUUUAUAUGAGAAGAUAAUGACGGUAUCAUAUGAAUAAGCACCGGCUAACUCCGUGCCAGCAGCCGCGGUAAUACGGGGGGUGCAAGCGUUACUCGGAAUCACUGGGCGUAAAGAGCAUGUAGGCUGGUUUGUAAGUUGGAAGUGAAAUCCUAUGGCUUAACCAUAGAACUGCUUCCAAAACUGCAGACCUAGAAUAUGGGAGAGGUAGAUGGAAUUUCUGGUGUAGGGGUAAAAUCCGUAGAGAUCAGAAGGAAUACCGAUUGCGAAGGCGAUCUACUGGAACAUUAUUGACGCUGAGAUGCGAAAGCGUGGGGAGCAAACAGGAUUAGAUACCCUGGUAGUCCACGCCCUAAACGAUGCACACUAGUUGUUGCCUUGCUAGACAAGGCAGUAAUGCAGUUAACACAGUAAGUG
RNAcentral lists this ribosomal RNA (709 nucleotides) under uncultured Arcobacter sp. Its description in RNAcentral is "bacterial SSU rRNA". It matches the Rfam family "Bacterial small subunit ribosomal RNA", at positions 135 to 866 of the family's 1533-position model. Lineage: Bacteria; Pseudomonadati; Campylobacterota; Epsilonproteobacteria; Campylobacterales; Arcobacteraceae. The record is from RNAcentral.